Molecule: ribosomal RNA, 406 nt
Filed under: uncultured bacterium
Lineage: Bacteria
Description: bacterial SSU rRNA
Rfam family: Bacterial small subunit ribosomal RNA
Source: RNAcentral
AUUGAACGCUGGCGGCGUGCCUAACACAUGCAAGUCGAGCGGUAACAGGUGUAGCAAUACAUGCUGACGAGCGGCGAACGGGUGAGUAAUGCUUCGGAAUCUACCCAAUGGUGGGGAAUAACCAGCCGAAAGGUUGGCUAAUACCGCAUACGUCCCACGGGAGAAAGCAGGGGAUCGCAAGACCUUGCGCCAAUGGAUGAGCCGAAGUCGGAUUAGCUAGUUGGAGGGUAACGGCCUACCAAGGCGACGAUCCGUAGCUGGUCUGAGAGGACGACCAGCCACACUGGGACUGAGACACGGCCCAGACUUCUACGGGAGGCAGCAGUGGGGAAUAUUGGACAAUGGGGGAAACCCGUGAUCCAGCGACGCCGCGUGUGUGAAGAAGGCCUGCGGGGUUGUAAAGCAC